Molecule: non-coding RNA, 460 nt
Organism: Tupaia belangeri chinensis (Chinese tree shrew)
Lineage: Eukaryota; Metazoa; Chordata; Mammalia; Scandentia; Tupaiidae
Source: the annotation of a RefSeq genome assembly
AUCAGGACACAACAUGGACAUGAGGUUCCCCGCUCAGCUCCUGGGGCUCCUGCUGCUCUGGCUCCCAGGUGCCAAAUGUGACAUCCAGAUGACCCAGUCUCCCUCCUCCCUGCCUGCAUCUCUAGGAGACAGAGUCACCAUCAGCUGCCGGGCGAGUCAGAGCAUUAGCAAGUGGUUAGCCUGGUAUCAGCAGAAACCAGGGAAAGCUCCUAAGCUCCUGAUCUACUAUGCAACCAGUUUGCAAACUGGUAUCCCAUCGAGGUUCAGUGGCAGUGGGUCUGGGACAGAUUUCACUCUCACCAUCAGCAGCUUAGAGCCUGAAGAUGUUGGAAGUUACUACUGUCAACAGUAUAGCAGUGCCCCUCCCACAGUGCUACAAACCCAAACACAAACCACCCAGGAAGGUAGAAGUGUGAGCUGGGCUGAGCCAGCUGCUCCUUCUGUGGCCUCCAUCGGUUGA